This 3980-nucleotide unclassified non-coding RNA is filed under the name Hevea brasiliensis (rubber tree). The record is from RNAcentral. Lineage: Eukaryota; Viridiplantae; Streptophyta; Magnoliopsida; Malpighiales; Euphorbiaceae.
GAAAAGAGUAAUUGAAAGUUUACUCAUGUAACAAUGAACGUAUCCAAUGCAUAUGUGAAUUCUGCAACUUAUACUCGAAAAAAUUCCAAAUAACAAUUCACCCAGUUGGCUCUCAAAGUAACUAACCAACCUGAAACAGAAUAAAGAAAAGGUAGGAUUGGAGUGUAUGAACUGAGACAGUUGUUACUGCACCAUUUCGUUCAGAUGCUGUGGUUCUUAUGUUUGCAAUUCCCAAAUCAAGCUAAAUCAUUACUCGAUAGACACUUGACUACAAACCUUCGUAACGGAUUCUAACUGCUUGAGAACAUUGCGGCCUGCACUUUCUCCGCAGGCAACUUGCUCCAAUACACACAUCAGAUGCUCACACAAAAAAAGUUCAAUUCUUAUUAGGAGAACUAUGUAUGAUGCAUCAUAAAACAGCACUAAGUGCAUUACUAUAGUCCUUAUAUUACCAGGAAAAUAAAUUGGCACAGAAAAGUAUCAGUAGCUCAUUAACAUUGUUCCUCUGGCGCACGAAGUUGCAAACUUUGAGCUACACUUCUUGUCUAGUGUUCUAUAUUCUUUUAGAACUAUUCACCUACCGACUGCAAAAUGCAUUAAAAAGGCUCAAGGACUACUAGUGUUAAAUUAAAGCAUUCUAAGCAAAGUUCCAUUCAAGUUCCCUUCUUACGUUGGGCCCCAGCAAACACUGGCAGCCCUAAGGAAUAUUCAAGUACAGUAAAGACAUCAUACAACUUGCAAAGUUUGCCCAAAAUUUUAACCUCAAGGUGGAUAAUUUAAACAGCAUCCACGAACAAUAACAUAUAAUUACGGUGUUUUGGGCAAAACCUACAUAUAGAAGGCCAUGUAAAGAAAAAGAAAAUGCUGAUCAACAUAGGUUCUAACCGGUGUUCUGCAUUCCGGCAGCAAUACCUUUCAUGGUCAAAAUGAGGGUGUCCUCCAAACCAGGUGCAUACUCACUUGUAGGAUUUAGUUUCACAAGUUCAUCAGCUGGUUUGCUUGAUUCCAUAAUUUCCUUGGAGAUGUGUGGCCGCACAGUCACAUUGUAAUUUGGAUCUCUGAUCCGUUUCAGCGUAUAUGCCUGGCAAACAUUGAGGGUUGUGAUGUAUGAAUCUCGCAACCGUAGUCUUUGUUUCAAGUAUGGGUCUCCUUCAAGAAGAUCCUUGUGUCCAGCAAUCUGAAGUAGAAGGCGCUUGGUUUCCUCAUAGUUGGUCCUUAACUUCUCACCAAAUGCCCACAGCUCCUCAGAAACAAGGAGUUUGUCAUUCAAGGCAGCUAUCCCAGGGUCCCCCUUGGCAAACACCAUUUCAACCAAAUCAAUGGUGACCCUAAAGAAAGGCCAUUCAUUAUACAUCUCUUGCAGCAUAUGGAGAUUCUUAAUGUCCUUUUGAAUGACCUGUUUAAAUGCUGCUCCAAAGCCUAGCCAUACUGGAAGAUGGAAUCUAGUUUGCGUCCACGCAAAGAUCCAUGGAAUUGCACGGAGAGAUUCAAUACCCCCACUUGGCUUUCGCUUUGAUGGACGGCUUCCAAUGUUCAUCCUACCAUACUCCAACUCUGGUGUGGCAAGGCGGAAAUAUUCAACAAAUCGAGGUUCUUUGAAGACAAUAGAGCGGUAUUCCUCUGUCGCAACAACAGCCAUUUCGUCCAUCAGCUCACGCCAUUCAGGUUUUGGGAAGACUGGGGGAUGCAUACCAUGCUCUAGAGUGGCAGCUGUGAAACGUUGCAGUGUUCUAAAGCACAAGUGCUCCUCUCCAAAUGAUUGCUCAAUAACUUCACCUUGAACAGUAACACGGAGUGAUCCAUGAAUUGUGUCUGGUGGCUGAGACAAUAUAGCAAGAUGAGUGGGACCACCUCCUCUUCCAACAGUCCCACCACGACCAUGGAACAUUGUGAGCUUCACACCGAAUUGCUUAGCUACCUUUAUAAGUUCCUCUUGAGCCUUAUAUAACUGCCAGGCUGCAGAGAGUCUUCCAGCAUCUUUACCAGAAUCUGAGUAACCAAUCAUGACUUCUUGCUUUCCAUUGAUGCGGUUUCUGUACCACUCUACUGAAAAGAGCCGAGCCAAAGCAGCAGGAGCAGCCUCCAGAUCUGCAAGCUUCUCAAACAGAGGAACCACUCUCAAUGGCUGCUUCACAUGACAUUCACGUUGCAGGAGCUCAACAGCAAGCACAUCAGACGGAGCAGUUGCCAUAGAAAUGAUGUAUGCUCCAAAGUUAUCUGCAGGGAGUUCUGCUAAAACAUGUAAAGUGUCCAACACAUCAGCAAUUUCCUCAGUUUUUGGAAGAUCAGGACCAAACAGUGGGCGCUUUCCACUGAGUUCAGAUAAAAGCCACUCCUGUCGGCGUUCUUCAGACCAUUCCCGAUAGGAACCAAUUUCCAAGUGCUUGGUGAUGGCAUCUAUGACAUCAGUGUGACGGUCUGAUUCUUGCCUAAUGUCAAGCCUCACUAGUGAAAGUCCAAAGGUGGAAACUUGCCUCAAGAAAUCAAGGAGGCUUCCAUCAGCAAUUGACCGGUCACCACAAGAGCAAAGCGAUCUAUAACACAGUUCAAGAGGUUCCAAGAACUGCUCAACAUUAGUGAAAGUUGCCUCCUCUGGGAUGUCUGAGAUCCCAUGGGAUAAUAAUUGACGGGAGCGUUCACGGGUCUGGUACAGCUUAUCCCUUAGGUCACCAAGAAUCACACGAUAGGGUUCACUUGGAGGGACUUGUUUCCAAAACUCUAUGUAGUGUUUUGCAUCUCUCUUUGAGGAUCUGUGAAGUUCAUCAGCUUGAACACGAAGUUCAUCACUGCAACGCCACAUGGACAACUCAAACAUAAGAUCUUCAAUUUGGGAAUAGUAUAGGUUAGCUGCCAUCAUUCUAGCCAAUAAGCAAACAUCCCUUGUGACCUCAGGAUUAACCCUUGGAUUACCAUCACGAUCACCACCCAUCCAAGAAGAAAAUUGAAUAAGUGGAGCAUUGUAAGGAACUCUUUCAUCAAUCCCUAUGUUUUUCAAAGCAGUGUCAACACGACGUAAAAACUUUGGGACACCCUUCCAGAUUGUCUCAUGGAAAUAACUCAUUCCUGCUCUCAUCUCAUCUUGGGGAGUUGGAGGGGUCCUUCGAAUCUCAUCUGUCCGAAAUGCAGCUUGAAUCUCACGCUGUAAAGCCUCAUCAAGCUCCUGCUUGUCAUCUGGAGUAAUGUCUUUGGCAUACAGUUGUGCCAAACAAUUACGUAUCCUUGCGUGCUUUUGAAGCAAAGAUCUACGGACUGAUUGAGUAGGAUGCGCAGUCAAGACAAGAUCUACAGUCUGAUUCUUCAGUGCAUCAAAAACUUCUUCAGGAGACUUCUUCAGAUCAACAACAAGCCUCUUGAGAGUUUCUUCAAUGUCUGAUUCAGUGGUUGCAGAGUUCUCAUCAGCAAAAUCUCCCUUUUUUAACUUGUUCCGUCGCCUAUAUGCAAUUUGAACCUCUUCGGCUAAGUUAGCCAAGUUAAGCAUGUGUGAGAAAGACUUGGCAAUAACAAUUGAAUCCCCAGGAUCCAAACUGGUCAAGACCUUUCCAAGCUCCUCAAGUUUCCGGCAAUCAUGCUUCCCUUCAUACUCGGCAGAAAGCUCAUAGCAUUCUUGAACCGUUUCCUUGAGAUCCUCUCCAUGCAAAUCUUGAAGAAUAUCAAGGAACCGAUCCAAAAGCAGAGCAUCAUACUCCACCAAUUUGUCAUCUUCACUCACUUUUGCAGGAACCAAAAGCCUAAGCUGUGCAUCAAUCGAUGCCAGCUUCUCAAGAUUCCGAGUUUGCAUUGCUCAGCACCUUUUAGCUUCUCUCUGAAUCUGGACAAGUGAGAUUUGAUAGUGCAGCGAAGUGGAGAGAAGGACAGAGAGAGGGAGGAUGAGGUUGGGAUGGGAAAGAGGAGCUUACACUAUAAAUAGACGAGGAGAAGCUGAAUUUAAUACAGAAGGAAGACAAUCUCUCCACUUUACAAGCUUCACAAUGUAUGUGUUU